Molecule: transfer RNA, 76 nt
Filed under: bacterium
Lineage: Bacteria
Also listed under: 3 other names
Description: tRNA-Lys
Rfam family: tRNA
About the family: Transfer RNA (tRNA) molecules are approximately 80 nucleotides in length. Their secondary structure includes four short double-helical elements and three loops (D, anti-codon, and T loops).
Source: RNAcentral
GCGCCGCUAGCUCAAUUGGCAGAGCAACUGACUCUUAAUCAGUAGGUUCGGGGUUCGAUUCCCUGGCGGCGUACCA